CAUGGCUGGCGCCGAUUCCUCAUGCGCGGUUGUGGUUGGGCACCUCGGCGGAGCUGCUGAGCCCCGGGAUUCUGGCGGCAAGAGGAAACAGUAGUCAACCCAGUCCGUGGAAUCGACCGGGAAAGUGAACCCGGAGGCGCCCAGGUCGACCAGAAGGUAAAAAGUAAAAUUAGAGUUCUGAAACUUUCAGACAGAAUGGUUUUGAUUUUUGCAAGCACUGUCACAUACUUGUGCAUGAGCAUAUAUGCCUGGUGCUGUGAUUACUCGUUUCAGCUGGGUAUCCUCGUGAUUUUUCUGGUCAUACUAAUGCGAAUUGGUGUUUCAUAUAUACGACUAGCCAAGAAGUUUUUAGAUGGAUCAUGUCAUAGAUGGACUAGCCAAGAUUGUUUUUAGAUGGAGUGACGAGUGGCACCUGCAGUUCUAAAGGAAAUGUUAGGAGCUUAUGCCCGUCAUUGGCUUGUCUCCCCUGGGCUGUGCAUCCAGCUCCAGCGGGUUCAGCACGACUGAGGCAGCAGUGGGAAGGAAGAUUAUUCGGUAGGAUGGCGCUGACAACAUAUCGGAGAUGCGCCAAGCCUUGCUGCGACCUAGCUUUCUUGUGCUUGCUCUCCUUCCCCAACAACAGACCAUCAUGGCCCUCCCUUUUGUUGUUCAUCAAUGGGGGUCAUGUUCACAUCAGAACCUUCAUCAGCACAAUCUUCAUGAAUUUUCCAUAUUUGUCAUAUCUCUCUGAUUGUCCAAUGCAGAUCAUGUUGUUAAAAAGUGAAACUUCUGGGUUGA
Aegilops tauschii subsp. strangulata is the source of this 777-nucleotide non-coding RNA. Lineage: Eukaryota; Viridiplantae; Streptophyta; Magnoliopsida; Poales; Poaceae. The record is from RefSeq and is a predicted model, not a curated record.